UGAAUGACAUGCUUUCGGAUACAAACAGACUCCUUUAAGAAAUCAAUGUUAACUUAGAGAGCCAAUAAAAUCCCCUUGGGAAAAGUGGACCCACAUCUUGUCUACACAAUCCCUGUGCAGGCUUUCUCACCUGUGUGAUCCAUGGCUGAGGCUCAGAAGAAACAAGAGGGAUGGGCCAUCAAUCACCAGAUGAUCCUCAGUGAGGGAUAAUAUCCUCUCAAUAUUUGAGUCACACUUCUACAGAGGACCCCUCAACUGCCCAUCUGUGGGACACGACAGAGGCAAAAUCCUGCCCCUGUCUCUCUCGGACCUGGCUGGAUACUGCUUUCACUAACCCACGAAGCAACCAUGCCCUAACAGCUAGCAAGAGAAUAAGACCCACAGAACAACCACCACCACCUCUCUGUCAGCAGGAAGCAGUUACAAAAGACUGACCUUUCCCAACAAAUUGGGUCUUGAACUCUUGAGGGGGGAAAUGUUAGAGUAGGUAGUUAGGCAGACAUGAGCAGGGCAGGAGAGGUCCCUGCCCAACCCAGGAAUGUCAGGUGACUAUCAGGUUAUGGUCAGGUGGUUGUUAUCUGUCUUGCUAAAAUAAUAAUUGGCUGCAGCUGGUGCCAGGGAACAGUAUCUCCCAAUAGAUGAAAAACAACUGAAGUUGAUGACCAGCAGCUUCCCAAUAAGAUCUCAGGAGUUGGGUGAGUGGGCUCAAGCAUGCACACUAAGAGCUGAAUGGCAGUGUUAACAGGUAAAUGACCUUCUUCUAGGAACGCCUGACUGGUAUGAGAAAAAUGCCUCAACUAAGCCUGUGUACAACUUCAGCAAACACACUGUGCUUGCAGCCCCUCCCAAGUGCUGGCAGGCCACUGAGCAUGCAGACAGCCUACCCCAAAAGAAGUAACGGGGAGAAGUAACACAACCCCAGAAGCAUCUCAAUACAUAAAACUUCAAGUUAAAGAUCAAACAGCACACUUGAAUCUCUCAAGUCACCUGCUU
Molecule: long non-coding RNA, 993 nt
Filed under: Homo sapiens (human)
Lineage: Eukaryota; Metazoa; Chordata; Mammalia; Primates; Hominidae
Description: novel transcript
Source: RNAcentral